UACAGAGGUCCCAAGCGUUGUUCGGAUUCACUGGGCGUAAAGGGUAGGUAGGUGGUCUCAUUUGUCUGGGGUGAAAGCCUUGAGCUUAACUCAAGAAGUGCCCUAGAAACGGUGAGACUAGAGUCCUGGAGAGGGUCGUGGAAUUCCCGGUGUAGCGGUGAAAUGCGUAGAGAUCGGGAGGAACACCAGCGGCGAAGGCGGCGACCUGGACAGGUACUGACGCUCAACUACGAAAGCGUGGGGAGCAAACAGG
RNAcentral lists this ribosomal RNA (253 nucleotides) under uncultured bacterium. Its description in RNAcentral is "partial 16S ribosomal RNA". It matches the Rfam family "Bacterial small subunit ribosomal RNA", at positions 524 to 776 of the family's 1533-position model. The record is from RNAcentral.